This 511-nucleotide small RNA is filed under the name Pongo abelii (Sumatran orangutan). RNAcentral describes it as "sense overlapping". The record is from RNAcentral. Lineage: Eukaryota; Metazoa; Chordata; Mammalia; Primates; Hominidae.
UCCUGAAGAUUUUCCUCAGAGAAUUUUUCAUCUCUUUGUUCCUGAGACUAUAUAUUAGAGGAUUGCAGAGAGGUGUUAUCACAGAAUAGAAAAAGUGGAUUUUUAUCUGAGAUCUACAACUUAUGAAGAAUAUAAGUGAUAUAUAUAUAAGUGAUUAUAUGUGUAAUAUAUAUAAGUGAUAUAUAUUCUUUUCUACUCUUCAUGUAUGGAAUAAAAGGGCUUGCACAGUAGUAAGAAAAAAAUGGCUUAGGCCCACAGGAACAAAGAAACAGGACAGGAGUUAGAUGCAGAGAAGAGAUUUCAACAAAAGUUUGGAAAAGAUGCUAACGGUAGCAUAUGAGUCACAGACAGAAUAUUGGCACCUUUUUUUUAAGAAACUGAAUGUUAAUGUCACAUCUGCCUUUGGAGAUUACAAAUGAAAUGGCUACCUUUCUACUGGAACUCUGACCAGAAGCCUGCCAAUUAGUAAGCUGGCUUAAGAGAUCAAUCUAAAAUUUACAUAAGGCUUUUG